CCUACGGGUGGCAGCAGUGAGGAAUAUUGGUCAAUGGACGAGAGUCUGAACCAGCCAAGUAGCGUGAAGGAUGACUGCCCUAUGGGUUGUAAACUUCUUUUAUUUGGGAAUAAAAUGUUCCACGUGUGAGAUUUUGUAUGUACCAUAUGAAUAAGGAUCGGCUAACUCCGUGCCAGCAGCCGCGGUAAUACGGAGGAUCCGAGCGUUAUCCGGAUUUAUUGGGUUUAAAGGGAGCGUAGGUGGAUUGUUAAGUCAGUUGUGAAAGUUUGCGGCUCAACCGUAAAAUUGCAGUUGAAACUGGCAGUCUUGAGUACAGUAGAGGUGGGCGGAAUUCGUGGUGUAGCGGUGAAAUGCUUAGAUAUCACGAAGAACUCCGAUUGCGAAGGCAGUUCACUGGACUGCAACUGACACUGAGGCUCGAAAGUGUGGGUAUCAAACAGGAUUAGAUACCCCAGUAGUC
This 460-nucleotide ribosomal RNA is filed under the name uncultured bacterium. Its description in RNAcentral is "partial 16S ribosomal RNA". It matches the Rfam family "Bacterial small subunit ribosomal RNA", at positions 338 to 795 of the family's 1533-position model. The record is from RNAcentral.